RNAcentral lists this ribosomal RNA (317 nucleotides) under Pectobacterium carotovorum subsp. carotovorum ICMP 5702. RNAcentral's name for it is "partial 23S ribosomal RNA". The stretch from base 109 to 317 matches the Rfam family "Bacterial large subunit ribosomal RNA", at positions 1 to 210 of the family's 2925-position model. The record is from RNAcentral. Lineage: Bacteria; Pseudomonadati; Pseudomonadota; Gammaproteobacteria; Enterobacterales; Pectobacteriaceae.
GGGUUGUGAGGUUAAGCGACUAAGCGUACACGGUGGAUGCCUAGGCAGUCAGAGGCGAUGAAGGGCGUGCUAAUCUGCGAUAAGCGUCGGUAAGCUGAUAUGAAGCGUUAUACCCGACGUAAGCGUACACGGUGGAUGCCUAGGCAGUCAGAGGCGAUGAAGGGCGUGCUAAUCUGCGAUAAGCGUCGGUAAGCUGAUAUGAAGCGUUAUCCCCGACGAUACCCGAAUGGGGAAACCCAGUGUGUUUCGAUACACUAUCAUGACAUGAAUACAUAGUGUCAUGAGGCGAACCGGGGGAACUGAAACAUCUCAGUACC